CCUACGGGCGGCAGCAGUGAGGAAUAUUGGUCAAUGGCCGAGAGGCUGAACCAGCCAAGUCGCGUGAGGGAAGACGGCCCUACGGGUUGUAAACCUCUUUUGUCGGGGAGCAAAGAGAGUCACGUGUGACUCAUUGAGAGUACCCGAAGAAAAAGCAUCGGCUAACUCCGUGCCAGCAGCCGCGGUAAUACGGAGGAUGCGAGCGUUAUCCGGAUUUAUUGGGUUUAAAGGGUGCGCAGGCGGAGGUGCAAGUCAGCGGUCAAAUUGCGGGGCUCAACCCCGUACUGCCGUUGAAACUGCAUGCCUUGAGUGCGCGAGAAGUAUGCGGAAUGCGUGGUGUAGCGGUGAAAUGCAUAGAUAUCGCGCAGAACUCCGAUUGCGAAGGCAGCAUACCGGCGCGCAACUGACGCUCAUGCACGAAAGCGUGGGGAUCGAACAGGAUUAGAUACCCGGGUAGUC
Molecule: ribosomal RNA, 459 nt
Filed under: uncultured bacterium
Lineage: Bacteria
Description: partial 16S ribosomal RNA
Rfam family: Bacterial small subunit ribosomal RNA
Source: RNAcentral